Molecule: non-coding RNA, 93 nt
Organism: Mycena rosella
Lineage: Eukaryota; Fungi; Basidiomycota; Agaricomycetes; Agaricales; Mycenaceae
Source: the annotation of a GenBank genome assembly
GGCCUGAUAGCACAAUGGCUAGUACUCCUGCUUUAUUUGAGGGAGUGUAAUUAAUUAAUGCAGGUGAUUCCGGUUUGAUUCCGGGUCAGGCCG